UAUCAUCCGUUCUUGGCUUCGGGAUGGCCUCAAGCCACGCUGCAUAACCCGAGACCUCAAAUGGGGAACCCCUGUACCCUUAGAAGGUUUUGAAGACAAGGUAUUCUAUGUCUGGUUUGAUGCCACUUUUGGCUAUCUGUCCAUCACAGCCAACUACACAGACCAGUGGGAGAGAUGGUGGAAGAACCCAGAGCAAGUGAGCAGUUCUUAGUUAGACUGUGCAUGGGGAGGGUAGGCGGUAGGGUGUGGGUGUUAGGGUUGGGUGUCUGGUCUUCCUUGGGCCUUUGAAGAAGGCCUGAGGAAAUCUCUCCUAACCACAUUCCCCUAGGUGGACCUGUAUCAGUUCAUGGCCAAAGACAAUGUUCCUUUCCAUGGCUUAGUCUUUCCUUGCUCAGCCCUAGGAGCUGAGGAUAACUAUACCUUGGUCAGCCACCUCAUUGCUACAGGUAAGUACCCUGGAAGACUACUGAUGGGGUGUUCAUAGGAAAUGAGGGGUGAGGCAGUACUUGGAAAAAGAUCUUAGAGAGCUGCUGUCUUGAGUUAGGAGUUGAGAUGAA
Molecule: small RNA, 557 nt
Filed under: Pongo abelii (Sumatran orangutan)
Lineage: Eukaryota; Metazoa; Chordata; Mammalia; Primates; Hominidae
Description: retained intron
Source: RNAcentral